UGUGGUUCCUGCUAUAUUCAACAUUGUAAGUGUACUUUUAGUCUUUUACCUUGGGAAUUGAAUUGUCAUCCAAACAGGUUCUGGGAUUGGAUCAUUGCACUAUGUACUACUCCCUCCUUUCCUAAAUAUAAGUCUUUUUAGAGAUUUCACUAGGGGACUACAUACGGAGCAAACUCUAAAGUGUAUAUAUAUAUAUACAUACGUAUGUAGUCCUUUAGUGAAACCUCUAAAAAGACCUAUAUUGAGGAACGGAGGGAGUAGAAAUUAGGAAGCACAUGCCAAACAGGUUUUAUUGACCCAUUUAUACAGUCGUAGCUAGUUGUAUUGACCCAUUUGUUAUUGCUGUGAAUUUGCAUAUAUGGCUGUCACUUGUAAAUUAUCUCUAGAUUGAUCGAUGUAUAUAUAGAGAGGAGAACGAGAUCGCCCAGUUUACCUGUUCGAGUUUGUUCUUUACGUAUUUCCUUUCUAGAUUUUGGGAAUUGUCAUGUGCUAAACUGUUCUUGACUUGUUGCAUGUGUUGCACAUCAGAUGCAGAUUCAUGGCAGUGAGAGAUUGAUGAUGCUGAGGUCGUUACCCCCAAAAUUAGCAAGACGCGGAAGGGCUGAGAUGUGGAAGCAUUAUGUUGUGUAAAAAGACAAGAUGAGUCAGAUUUGUGUUUUUCUUUGUUGGUUGGUGGAUGUGUAAGUGUUCUUGUACACAAGAUAAAAUGGCUUUGGUUUCAUGGCUGGUAGGAGGCGUUGAAGCCAUGAGACCUCAAGUGUUGAAUACUGAUGUUUGUCACCUUGUUUAUGGGAAUGUUGUUCCCAACCACUAAAAAAAAGCAAUGAAGUCUUGAGGUAUUGCGAGCAAUAUGCUAAAGAUGUUUGAAACUUGGCACUGCAAAUUGCUCAAAUGUUUCUUCAAGUUGGUCAAUCAGGAUGAGCAACAGUUCAGUUCAGACUGAAUGGGCGUAAUGUUUUGUCGCUCAUGAAUCUCAGGAUCAACAUGCAUAUAGUUGGUGUGUGCUUGCAUGCACCACUGAAAUCAGUCUAGAUCAGGGGCAGAUGUAAUCCAAGUUUUAUCUACAG
RNAcentral lists this long non-coding RNA (1067 nucleotides) under Hordeum vulgare. RNAcentral describes it as "long non-coding RNA (HVUL_LNC012367)". Lineage: Eukaryota; Viridiplantae; Streptophyta; Magnoliopsida; Poales; Poaceae. The record is from RNAcentral.